This 620-nucleotide ribosomal RNA is filed under the name Escherichia coli. RNAcentral describes it as "partial 23S ribosomal RNA". It matches the Rfam family "Bacterial large subunit ribosomal RNA", at positions 932 to 1553 of the family's 2925-position model. The record is from RNAcentral. Lineage: Bacteria; Pseudomonadati; Pseudomonadota; Gammaproteobacteria; Enterobacterales; Enterobacteriaceae.
CGACUUACCAACCCGAUGCAAACUGCGAAUACCGGAGAAUGUUAUCACGGGAGACACACGGCGGGUGCUAACGUCCGUCGUGAAGAGGGAAACAACCCAGACCGCCAGCUAAGGUCCCAAAGUCAUGGUUAAGUGGGAAACGAUGUGGGAAGGCCCAGACAGCCAGGAUGUUGGCUUAGAAGCAGCCAUCAUUUAAAGAAAGCGUAAUAGCUCACUGGUCGAGUCGGCCUGCGCGGAAGAUGUAACGGGGCUAAACCAUGCACCGAAGCUGCGGCAGCGACGCUUAUGCGUUGUUGGGUAGGGGAGCGUUCUGUAAGCCUGUGAAGGUGUACUGUGAGGUAUGCUGGAGGUAUCAGAAGUGCGAAUGCUGACAUAAGUAACGAUAAAGCGGGUGAAAAGCCCGCUCGCCGGAAGACCAAGGGUUCCUGUCCAACGUUAAUCGGGGCAGGGUGAGUCGACCCCUAAGGCGAGGCCGAAAGGCGUAGUCGAUGGGAAACAGGUUAAUAUUCCUGUACUUGGUGUUACUGCGAAGGGGGGACGGAGAAGGCUAUGUUGGCCGGGCGACGGUUGUCCCGGUUUAAGCGUGUAGGCUGGUUUUCCAGGCAAAUCCGGAAAAUCAA